ACAUCGCUCUUUGAAAUUUAAUUAUAAAGAGUCGAGCCUGCCCAGUGAUAAAAUUUUUAACGGCCGCGGUACUCUGACCGUGCAAAGGUAGCAUAAUCAUUUGCCCUAUAAUUGAGGGCUAGUAUGAAUGGUUUGACAAGAGCAAUGCUGUCUCCUUUAGAUUCUAUAGAAUUUGAUUUUUAGGUGAAGAGGCCUGAAUUAAAUUGAAAGACAAGAAGACCCUAUCGAGCUUUAAGUUAUUUUGUUAAGUUAAUGAAUUAAAGAUCAGUUUUAACAAAAAAUUUUGGUUGGGGCGACUGAGGAACAAAAAAAGCUUCCUUUAUUUUAAAGACUUAUUAGUUUUGAUCCAAAAUAUUUGAUUAAAAGAAUUAGUUACCGUAGGGAUAACAGCAUAAUCUUUUUUGAGAGCUCUUAUCGAAAAAAAGGUUUGUGACCUCGAUGUUGGACUAGGAUAUCCUAAUAGAUGCAGACGUCUUUGAUGGUUGGUCUGUUCGACCAUUAAAAUCCUAC
Molecule: ribosomal RNA, 510 nt
Filed under: Stenothyra australis
Lineage: Eukaryota; Metazoa; Mollusca; Gastropoda; Littorinimorpha; Stenothyridae
Description: partial 16S ribosomal RNA
Rfam family: Bacterial large subunit ribosomal RNA
Source: RNAcentral